UGGACAGCUGAGGAUCUGGAGCUCCAGCCAGGCUGCGCGCUACUUCUGGCCGGAGGAAGGGUGCCUUUGCGCGGGCUGGAGCGCCUCGCCGCUCGCUUUUGGAGCGAUUGCGUUUGCUCGGCACUUUCCCCCUUCUCUCCCUCGGGAAGCGGCUUCUCUGUAGUCUGUGCCGCUGCAGGGCAGGGGAGAGCCAGAGAAGCCUCGGGCUUGGAAUAAUCCUUUGGGGAGGCUCGGAGCCCUCCUCGCGGGCUGCAUCUUCGGAUCUGUUGGUGCGUCCGCUCCUCUCCAGACAGCGUUUCUUCUUUUUAAUCCACCCGUCCUCCCUUCGGAUCCUGGGAUACAUAUGAGAGGACUGGCGUUUCCCCUCCGGUCAUUGGGUCGGAGGGGAACCCAGCAAGGAGUUCCCCCCCUUCCCCGACCAGUGGGCUCCCCCAGCUCUAGGAGGAGGAGCAGCAGGACGGGAACUUCGGGCUGGAUCAGCCAGGUGGGAGCCACGCAGACUGCUGCAAACUUUUUUUAAAAAAAUCCACGCCUGCACCCAGAAGCUUUCCAGUCCAGCAUGCUCGAAAAGGAAGCACCGGCCUCUUUCCGCUGAGACGCCUCCCCUAAGGCCACACAGGUUGUGAGGGGAAGGAUCCCGCCCUGCACCCGGAGGAGUGAUGCUCAUCCGAGAAGUCCUGCUGUUCCUCCACUGCUUCUGGCCUUCUUUGCUGCUGCACUGGACCCUCCAUCCCAUCUGGGGCUUCAUUCAGAUCACUCAGGGUGAACCUCAAAAGUCAUGCUUCAAGCCUGUAGCAGAGAAAGUUACAGACAGCUGCCAGCAGAUCUGCCAGUGUAGACCACCUCCAUUACCGCCCCCACCACCUCCUCCUCCACCGCCAAGGUUGCUUGGGACCCCAUUGCCUCCCACGGCUCCCACUUGUCCCACUGCAGACACCUGGUGGCCAAGCCCAAUUCUCAUUAUUGCAGCAUGCUGCACCACACCAGUGUUCCUCUUUCUAGUUUUCAUCAUUUGCUACAAAGCCAUAAAAAGGAGUCAUGAAAAUUCGUGCAUUUGAGAGAUGGUUGUUAUGGAUAUCGAAGCACCAUUUCUUCCCUGUCCUUGGAACCAUGUAGAAACAUUUCAUUUGUACAGAGAUGAACUCUCAUUUCAUUUUAAGCCAUUUUGUAAGAAAAGUUUAAUGAUUUACUACAUAGCAAAAUACUGUAUGUAGUAAUUUUUGUAGGAAGUGGAUGAAGUGCAUUUUAAAGAACUACCUACCCUAUAUCUCCAGACAUGGAACCAACAAAGCUACCCACCUGAAUCUAUCUGGAGAUCAGUUGUAAUUCUGGGAGAUCUCCAGCUACUACAUGGAGGUUGGCAAGCCUAUUAACCAGCCUCCUGCAGCAUCCCUAUUUGCAGAAGUGGGCUGAUUUGGGCUCUGCGCACUUGGCAACUUCAGGGCCCAGCUGGGUUUCCUCACACUGGCUCUACCUUUAUUGUUUAGGUGUAUCGUCGUUUGGUAUGUUAUUUUUAAUUUCUCACUGUGGGGUCCCUUGGGAGUAAACUAGGCUAGGAAUGUCUUAAACAAAACAAACAAGCAAAUGAAUGCUUUUACCUUGAUUUGGAGCCCUGUGUGGUGAGAGGAUCUAACUUACCACAUUUCCAUCUCUUCUGUUUUGCUUCAAAGUGGGGAAAUGAGCUCCAAAGGAAGGACAGAAGUGCUGCAGCCUCUUCCUAUCUCAGGACCAAGCUACACUUUCCCCACAUCCAUACAGCCCUUGCGGGAAACUGCUUUUUAAAGCACCACAGGGGCUCGAUUCUGCAAGGGACUACAGCAUGGGAAGAAGAGGGGCUUCUACCUCUUCCCUCUCCAUUUUCCCUAGCCCAAAUGGCCCCGGAGGGCAUAUUGCAUGAGUGUUCCCAUACAGAAUGAGGCCCCGGCAAUAAUUUAAAAAACAGUUCGCCACAGGUGCUGUGCAGCUGUGGUGAAAGCGAGGUGGUUCUGAGGAACCUGACUGGUUAAAAAUGUUUCGUUUGUCUCAGGUACGUGGCUGCAGGCAUUUUCUUAAUGUUGCUUAACAACAGUAGUGUAUAGUCAGAGAGGAGUUAGAGAAUCAGUGUUCAGUUUGCUGGCUCUCAGUCCAUCAGUUCUCUUGGAAAGCCAUGAAGAACCUGCUCUGAGUCCCCUUUAUAUUUAUUUAUUUUUUUAAUCUUUACCCCAGUAGAGAAUUCUUGUUAUCCUCUUUAAACUACAGUUUCUAUAGGGAAAGCCAUAACAAUUAAGCCGGCAUGAAACUGAUACAUGGUUUUGCACUGUAGAUAUAUACCGUUUGUUCCUGACAUUCACGUUUGUCCUUUUAGUAUAGCUUUCACUGUUGAAAACUCUAUGAAUAUGAACCAAGGAUUCAGCAGGAAAAAUUAUAACAAGUUACAAAUAUUUUGGAGGCUUGUCAUACACCUAGCCCAGAAAGCCUUAUCCUUUAAGUGGUGCUUUGAGGUACAAAUGAGAUCAGACAUCAGGGGAUCUUCCCUUUGAUGCAGGAGUAGGAAAUAAAUGUUUAAUAAAAAAUCAGAUCCAUAAAUAUGCAGGUUUUUUCUUGCUUAGUAGGUUUCAUGAGGCAAUCCAAGCUGAGGCUGUGGCAUAGGGUGGUGAUUUAACCCUUCCUCCUGCGCUAUUUUCCCAAUCUGGAUUUGUUCCCAGAGGAGAUGCAAAUAUUCAG
RNA transcript from Eublepharis macularius, 2703 nucleotides. It is a transcript of the gene named proline rich membrane anchor 1, with no coding region annotated. The transcript has 6 exons. NCBI's taxonomy places the organism in Eukaryota, Metazoa, Chordata, Lepidosauria, Squamata, Eublepharidae. The record is from RefSeq and is a predicted model, not a curated record.